This is a long non-coding RNA of Grus americana (Whooping crane), 526 nucleotides long. RefSeq lists it as uncharacterized. The record is from RefSeq and is a predicted model, not a curated record. The transcript is spliced from 3 exons. Lineage: Eukaryota; Metazoa; Chordata; Aves; Gruiformes; Gruidae.
CAGCUCUGCUUUCAAGCCCUCUUGGCUGAUACCUUGCUCCUUGUCUGCACAGAAGCCACUGCCCAAGAAUCAUCGCUGCAACCGCUCUGAAGGGCACCGUUUCACGCAGGUGUUACUGAGCUGAAGGACUUUGAAUCCGCUCUCUCCCUCUGCGGCGCUGCCAUCGUUACCAGAAAGAGAGAAGCCCCGGGCAGGCUGCUGCGUGCGGGAGCGCCGCCGUCCCAGCCACUGCUCUCUGCCGCAAGGCGAAGGGGAAGAACGUGCUUAUGAGGAGGGCAGGUUAAUUGAUCCCUUUUUGAAAAAUCAUGUUGCUCACCUUGAACUUUAAGGAUAAUUAUAAGGCACGAGGCAGCUGUAUUAUUUUCUGGAGUGUGUUCCAAGGUAUUCAUGAUUAAACUAUCAAAAUCGAGGGUGCAUAACGAACUGUUCAGAGCAAACGAAGCUGACUAAAUAUUUCAAAAGUGGUUUUGUUCUGGUGUUUUCUUGCGUCUCAUUAGGGUUGAUUUUCAAAAUGCUUAGGCCUCAU